RNAcentral lists this ribosomal RNA (685 nucleotides) under Tenuitellita iota. RNAcentral's name for it is "SSU rRNA". The stretch from base 1 to 485 matches the Rfam family "Eukaryotic small subunit ribosomal RNA", at positions 1215 to 1501 of the family's 1831-position model. The record is from RNAcentral. Lineage: Eukaryota; Foraminifera; Rotaliida; Candeinidae.
UUACCGGGUCCGGACACACUGAGGAUUGACAGGCAAUAUAUGGUUACUUCGGUAGUCAUUGUUAAAUAUGCUAGUCCUUUCAUGAUUAUGUGAUAGGUGGUGCAUGGCCGUUCUUAGUUCGUGGAGUGAUCUGUCUGCUUAAUUGCGUUUCACUUAUUUUAUAGGAUCUAAUAUUAAUGAUGUGUGAGCGACUCGCAUGCUCUUGACCCACACUUGUUUACUCAGGUGGUCCGUGCGUCAUUAUAGGCUUUUGCUUGACCUCCCAUCUUUUAGCUAUCCUUUGAAAGCAACGAACGUGACCGCAACCUCUUGUUGCCUUCGUUUAACAUCCUACUGGCCUUUAUUGCGCUUGGUGGGUAUUGAGGGCUUCACUCAUUCACUUGAGUAAACUAGAGGGACCGCUGUCUACUUCUUAAACCAGAGGAAGGUUGCGGCAAUAACAGGUCUGUGAUGCCCUUAGAUGUUCCGGGCUGCACACGUGCUACAAUGAUUGUGGCAGUGAGCAUCUAUGAGAUUUACUUACAUGAGUUCGUGAAGUGUGCUUCGGCUCACGGAUCGACUCUAAAAGCCUGCUUUGAGAGCAAGUGGGUAAUCAAUUAGAAGUAACGAUUUCUUCGCAUUAGCACACUUAUAUACGGCGUUUAUGCCCGGGUCUCACUUGUUGAGGCCUCUGCGUGCGUAGAUG